UACAGAGGGUGAGAGCGUUAAUCGGAAUUACUGGGCGUAAAGCGCACGUAGGUGGCGACGUAAGCCGGGUGUGAAAGCCCCGGGCUCAACCUGGGAAUUGAAUUCGAGACUGCAUUGCUGGAGUACGGAAGAGGAGGGCGGAAUUCCCGGUGUAGCGGUGAAAUGCGUAGAUAUCGGGAGGAACAUCAGUGGCGAAGGCGGCCCUCUGGUCCAGUACUGACACUCAAGUGCGAAAGCGUGGGGAGCAAACAGG
RNAcentral lists this ribosomal RNA (253 nucleotides) under uncultured bacterium. Its description in RNAcentral is "partial 16S ribosomal RNA". It matches the Rfam family "Bacterial small subunit ribosomal RNA", at positions 524 to 776 of the family's 1533-position model. The record is from RNAcentral.